GGUGAUAUAGCUCAGUUGGUGGAGUACUUGCCUUGCAUGCACAACGCCCUGGGUUCAAUCCCCAGCACCA
This 70-nucleotide transfer RNA is filed under the name Marmota marmota marmota (Alpine marmot). It matches the Rfam family "tRNA". Rfam says of the family: Transfer RNA (tRNA) molecules are approximately 80 nucleotides in length. RNAcentral also lists the same sequence under 1 other name. Lineage: Eukaryota; Metazoa; Chordata; Mammalia; Rodentia; Sciuridae. The record is from Rfam by way of RNAcentral.